This 365-nucleotide ribosomal RNA is filed under the name uncultured Bacteroidales bacterium. RNAcentral describes it as "bacterial SSU rRNA". It matches the Rfam family "Bacterial small subunit ribosomal RNA", at positions 529 to 896 of the family's 1533-position model. The record is from RNAcentral. Lineage: Bacteria; Pseudomonadati; Bacteroidota; Bacteroidia; Bacteroidales.
AGGAUCCGAGCGUUACCCGGAUUCAUUGGGUUUAAAGGGUGCGUAGGUUGUUUUAUAAGUUAGCGGUGAAAUACCGAUGCUCAACAUCGGGGCUGCCGCUAAUACUGAAGGACUAGAGAUCGGAUGCAGCAGGCGGAAUGUGUAGUGUAGCGGUGAAAUGCAUAGAUAUUACACAGAACACCGAUUGCGAAGGCAGCUUGCUAGGCCGGAUCUGACACUGAUGCACGAAAGCGUGGGGAUCGAACAGGAUUAGAUACCCUGGUAGUCCACGCAGUAAACGAUGAUAACUAGUUGUCGGCGAUACACAGUCGGUAACCCAGCGAAAGCGAUAAGUUAUCCACCUGGGGAGUACGACCGCAAGGUUG